GCGGGAGAGUGAAAUGGCUCACGCCGGCCCCAUAAGCCGGAAACAUUUAGGUUCGAUUCCUAAUUCCCGCC
Molecule: transfer RNA, 71 nt
Filed under: Phycisphaerae bacterium
Lineage: Bacteria; Pseudomonadati; Planctomycetota; Phycisphaerae
Description: tRNA-Met
Rfam family: tRNA
About the family: Transfer RNA (tRNA) molecules are approximately 80 nucleotides in length. Their secondary structure includes four short double-helical elements and three loops (D, anti-codon, and T loops).
Source: RNAcentral